AGGGACCUACGGGGCCCUAAUCUAACGGAAGACAGAAA
Molecule: non-coding RNA, 38 nt
Filed under: unclassified sequences
Description: L2-Alphaproteobacteria ribosomal protein leader
Rfam family: L2-Alphaproteobacteria ribosomal protein leader
Source: RNAcentral